UCUGGUGGUUAUAGCGAGGGGCCUGCACCCGAUCCCAUCUCGAACUCGGACGUGAAAACCCUCAGCGCUGAUGGUACUAUGCCUUAAGGCCCGGGAGAGUAAGACGCUGCCAGAU
RNAcentral lists this ribosomal RNA (115 nucleotides) under Rhodospirillaceae bacterium. Lineage: Bacteria; Pseudomonadati; Pseudomonadota; Alphaproteobacteria; Rhodospirillales; Rhodospirillaceae. The record is from RNAcentral.